This 434-nucleotide ribosomal RNA is filed under the name uncultured bacterium. RNAcentral's name for it is "partial 16S ribosomal RNA". It matches the Rfam family "Bacterial small subunit ribosomal RNA", at positions 29 to 507 of the family's 1533-position model. The record is from RNAcentral.
AGCGAACGCUGGCGGCAGGCCUAACACAUGCAAGUCGAACGACCCCUCCGGGGUUAGUGGCGGACGGGUGAGUAACACGUGGGAACGUGCCUUUAGGCUCGGAAUAACACAGGGAAACUUGUGCUAAUAUCGAAUGUGUUACUCGGGGGAAAGAUUCAUCGUCCUUAGAGCGGCCCGCGUCUGUUUAGCCAGUUGGUUGAGGUAAUGGCUCACCAAGGCGACGUUCAGUAGCUGGUCUGAGAGGAUGAGCAGCCACAUUGGGACUGAGACACGGCCCAAACUCCUACAGGAGGCAGCAGUGGGGGAUCUUGCGCAAUGGGCGAAAGCCAGACGCAGCCAUGCCGCGUGAGUGAUGAAGGUCUUAGGAUUGUGAAAUACUUUCACCGGGGACGGUAAUGACGGUACCCGAAGAAGAAGCCCCGGCUAACUUCGUG